GACGAACGCUGGCGGCGUGCUUAACACAUGCCAGUCGAACGGUGAAGCCCUUCGGGGUGGAUCAGUGGCGAACGGGUGAGUAACACGUGAGCAACCUGCCCCUGGCUCUGGGACAACCACUGGAAACGGUGGCUAAUACCGGAUACGACCCGCCUCGGCAUCGAGUGUGGGUGGAAAGUUUUUCGGCUGGGGAUGGGCUCGCGGCCUAUCAGCUUGUUGGUGAGGUGAAGGCUCACCAAGGCGACGACGGGUAGCCGGCCUGAGAGGGCGACCGGCCACACUGGGACUGAGACACGGCCCAGACUCCUACGGGAGGCAGCAGUGGGGAAUAUUGCACAAUGGGCGAAAGCCUGAUGCAGCGACGCCGCGUGAGGGAUGACGGCCUUCGGGUUGUAAACCUCUUUCAGCUCCGAAGAAGCGUAAGUGACGGUAGGAGCAGAAGAAGCACCGGCUAACUACGUG
Molecule: ribosomal RNA, 462 nt
Filed under: uncultured bacterium
Lineage: Bacteria
Description: partial 16S ribosomal RNA
Rfam family: Bacterial small subunit ribosomal RNA
Source: RNAcentral